Molecule: ribosomal RNA, 464 nt
Filed under: uncultured bacterium
Lineage: Bacteria
Description: bacterial SSU rRNA
Rfam family: Bacterial small subunit ribosomal RNA
Source: RNAcentral
CCUACGGGUGGCAGCAGUCGAGAAUUUUUCACAAUGGGCGAAAGCCUGAUGGAGCGACGCCGCGUGGGGGAUGAAUGGCUUCGGCCCGUAAACCCCUGUCAUCUGCGAGCAAUACUACCUGCUUAACAGGUUGGUAGUUGAUAGUAGCGGAAGAGGAAGGGACGGCUAACUCUGUGCCAGCAGCCGCGGUAAUACAGAGGUCCCAAGCGUUGUUCGGAUUUACUGGGCGUAAAGGGUGCGUAGGUGGCUAAAAAAGUUUGAUGUGAAAUCUUGGAGCUCAACUCCGAAACUGCAUUGAAUACUGUUUGGCUUGAGGAAUGGAGAGGAGAUUGGAAUUCUCGGUGUAGCAGUGAAAUGCGUAGAUAUCGAGAGGAACACCAGUGGCAAAAGCGAAUCUCUGGACAUUUCCUGACACUGAGGCACGAAAGCCAAGGGAGCAAACGGGAUUAGAUACCCGUGUAGUC